CUCACGUGACGCCAUCCAGGCCAACUCCCCCAGGGCGGAAACGCAGCAAGGGUAACCGGGCUCUGGCGGGUGCGUGAGGA
This 80-nucleotide signal recognition particle RNA is filed under the name Curtobacterium sp. ER1/6. Its description in RNAcentral is "Bacterial large signal recognition particle RNA". It matches the Rfam family "Bacterial small signal recognition particle RNA", at positions 9 to 84 of the family's 97-position model. From Rfam's summary of the family: The signal recognition particle (SRP) is a universally conserved ribonucleoprotein involved in the co-translational targeting of proteins to membranes. Archaeal SRP consists of a 7S RNA and homologues of the eukaryotic SRP19 and SRP54 proteins. Lineage: Bacteria; Bacillati; Actinomycetota; Actinomycetes; Micrococcales; Microbacteriaceae. The record is from RNAcentral.